UACGUAGGGGGCAAGCGUUGUCCGGAUUUAUUGGGCGUAAAGAGCGCGCAGGCGGUCGUUCAAGUCGCGUGUGAAAGCCCCCGGCUCAACUGGGGAGGGUCACGCGAUACUGAUCGACUCGAAGGCAGGAGAGGGAAGUGGAAUUCCCGGUGUAGUGGUGAAAUGCGUAGAGAUCGGGAGGAACACCUGUGGCGAAGGCGGCCACCUGGGCCGACCCUGACGCUGAGGCGCGAAGGCGUGGGGAGCGAACGGG
Molecule: ribosomal RNA, 253 nt
Filed under: uncultured bacterium
Lineage: Bacteria
Description: partial 16S ribosomal RNA
Rfam family: Bacterial small subunit ribosomal RNA
Source: RNAcentral